Cercocebus atys (sooty mangabey) is the source of this 1388-nucleotide long non-coding RNA. RefSeq lists it as uncharacterized. NCBI's taxonomy places the organism in Eukaryota, Metazoa, Chordata, Mammalia, Primates, Cercopithecidae. The record is from RefSeq and is a predicted model, not a curated record. The transcript is spliced from 3 exons.
GAGAGAAUCUGUCUCUUUUCCAUUGAGGCCAUCAGUUCCUAUCCUCUAAAGAGAAGGGCACGACUGCAGGUGCCAGGGAUACAAGAGUGACUGAGAGAGAGGGGGCCCUCCCCUUGUGCAGCCUCACUCCAGAAGGGAAACAACCUGAGUCUCUGGAAGACGACGCUCUACACCGCGUUGUGUAACCCGCCCCGGGAAUCACGUUGCACAGACAAGUCCCACCGGAUUUUACUGCAAUAAUAAGCUUGAUCUUCUUAUUCAAACACAAGUAACAACCACAGCCGGCUCCAAGUCACGUGUCGAGGUCACAUGGCACUCAGAGGCAGAAGCCGACUGGUAAUCAUUAGCCAAUGCUUACUACCAGGGAGAAAAUCCCGGCUUUAAAGACACGAACUCAGUUUUCAGAAAACAAACAGGACUGCAAGAGAAGGCAUUUGAUGUGGGGGGUAGGGUGUCAUUCUUGUUAAGUGCUUUCCAAGCAAAGGAAAAGAGCCAACACACACUCCCUCCUUUCGCUCUUCUCCCAGAACUUUCCAAACUCGCCCAGCCUAGCCGCCUUUUCCAAACCUGGAGGAGUCCUGGGCUGCAGCAUCCCCAGCUCAGGCCUGGGAGCGAGAGGGAGGGGUGGGCUGACUUGGCUGUGGGUCCUAGCCCUUGGGAAAUGGAGGGCUGAAUUCAGAGCUGAAUUUAGUAGAAAGCCAAAAUUUCUCUUCCUUAUGAAAUUAAUGCUUCUGGGUUGAUGGGGUUUGGGGAGAGGUGAGGGGUGAGAAGAAGCACUGUGAGCCAUGGGGUCCGUCUGGACUUUUUGUUAACAUGAAAAACAACAUCCAGAAUGUGGCUCCUUUAGGUUUUUCUGUGGUAAGAACAGAAACCGUAAGGGCUCUGCCUACCUGAAUGUUUCCUUGAUCAGCCGUUUGAAUUUAGAAAGAAGUUAUUUCACUUUCUCUAACUUGUAUAGUGUUACUUCGUGCUUUCAAAAACUGCAAUGAUCGAACUGAGUUUGUUUAAUUUGGUGUGGAAGUGACAAUAGUGGGUGUCAAUGAAGAAUCUGGAAUCUGCUGGAGGGAAGGGGAAGGUAAAGUACAGAUAAAAGGCUUUAGCAGAAAGUUGACAGCAUUUUUUUAAAAAUCUAGGUGUGUUUUAUUUCACAUUGCACAGAAAGUACUUUACCCAAACACUGCAGUACAGAUGCAGCCUUACAAGAAAAUCUACUGGUGUAGUCUGGAGUCUUAAUCCUAUUUCAUUUAGCUCUUUUCAGAAAGAACAAACAUACAAAGAAUUUCACUGUGUCACUGAAAUAUAACUGUUUCAUGAAGUUUAAUUAGGAAGUUUGGUUUUCUCCCUCUUCAUCUUUUUCUCCAUCUUACCCUCUUCAAAAAGCUAAAAUA